RNAcentral lists this long non-coding RNA (2622 nucleotides) under Triticum aestivum (bread wheat). Its description in RNAcentral is "long non-coding RNA (TAES_LNC017998)". The record is from RNAcentral. Lineage: Eukaryota; Viridiplantae; Streptophyta; Magnoliopsida; Poales; Poaceae.
CUCUCUCUCUCUCUCUCUCUCUCUCUCUCUGCAGUUAUAGCUAGCAACAGGCCCAUCUGCAUGGUAUGCAAACAAGAGGUAAACCACAGAGACUGCCACUAGUUAUUACAGUGAUUUUGGCCACUAAAUUAUCUGUUUUUCUUUUUUUCCGAGUCAUUCUUGUACUGCCUGCCAUGAAAAAACCCUGAUGAUAGAAUACAAAUAUUUGUGUAUUCUAUCGUCAGUUCACAGAGAAGAAAUUCUUUUUUCUUCAGUGUGUAUUCUAUCGUUAGUUCUGUGUGUAUUUUUGUUCUCUUUUCUUCAGUCCACAAAGAAUAAAUAUUGUCAGUUCAUGAAUAGAGAAUUUCUGAAAUAAACUUAAUAUUAGUUUGGUGUGUAUUCUAUCGUCAGUUCAUGAAAAAAUACAAACUAGUUGGUGCGUGUGCAAAAAUAUCAUCAGUUCAUGUUUUGAAAUUCUGUAAGUUUACAUAUAUCACCUAAAUAAGUAAUGUUUUGUAGCGAGUUUCUUACGUGUCUAUUCUGAUUCAAGUGCCUUGUUCUUCCUGAAACACAAGGUGCUUGUGUUAAUGCCUAUGGGAGAAUAGCACGUACAGGGACUGUGUACUAGUGUUGAAAACAGGAUAAAGUCCUAAGAUAAUGAUGUUCUCCCCUGCUUCCACUUCCAUUCGCCACCUCAGAACCCCGCGCACUACCGCCCUCCCUUACCCCCUGCAGCUCGCCGUGUGCAAGUUCUUCAGUCCAAGUUCUAUGGAGAGCUCGUCUCUUGUUUCAUUUUCCUUAACACUCGGUAACGAAAAUGAUCGUUCAACUUCAAAUAUGUUUUGGACUGAUUGUUCAAGUUCUUUCGUAUAGAAGGUUCAGAAAGUUUUGUUCCUGAAAAUGCACAUAUUUGGAGUACGCCAAUAUAUAUGUAUUUCUGAAUUUUGCCCUUGAGUAAUAGUUCAACAUGUAUUACGCCAUCAAUUCAUAAUGGAAAGGCAGCAAACAGUUCAAUAGAUGUGUGUUAAAAAUGUAACUGUAUAGAGAAACUUUCGUAGUAGUUCGAUGGAAUAAAUCGCAUCAGUUCUGACUCGGAUCCGUUCUUGCCUACAAUGCAUUGAAAAAUCAAUUUUUUUGCCUUUCUUAAGGCUUGAGAAGCACGUAUCUCUAGGAUAUGUGCCAUGUUAAACUUGAGUUGUUUUCAGUUAACACAAAGUGACUGUCUCUUAAGCCUAAACUAAAAUUUAUUUAUGUGAGAGACACCUGAACUGAAGUUGUUCCCAAGUAAAAGAAACUUCAACUUGUUUGAGCGUAUCUGGUUAGGAUAAUUGUAAUAACUUUAGUUCUCGUCAAUGGUAACGGAACAAAAUUUUUGGAUCCUCUUAAAUGUAACUUGAAGAACGCUAGCGCUGAGGUUGGGCAUUGUUUAUCAAUGGUAAGUUGUUCAUAAGGUCGGCCGGCAGAAAAUUUCCUAAGUUCAACUAUGUCGCUAGAGCUUCAGUCCAACUAUGUUGCUUCUGCGAUUUUCCUUAUGCAGAAAAUCACACUGAAGGACGUUCAACUAUGUUUCAUCUCUGAACUUAAACGCGUUUGUUCUUUGAGCUAAAAUUCAUAGAGCUUUACUUUUGAUGAUUCUUGUACCUAUUGUUCAGAAAUCAAUGGUAAAUUUUUUGAUUGCAGCAAUGGCGAUUGGACGAGGGAGGUUGGACGGACUGCAGAUUGGCGAUGUUACCCCCCCUCUCUCAAAGACAAUAAGACCAAAAAGGUUCAGUUAUCAACAUUCAUCUAUUGCUACUGAACUGAAGCAUGUCACUAACUCACUAUUGAACUGAAGAAACUGAAUUGAAGUUCCAUAGACAUGUUGUGUUAUUCUUGUAGUGCAAAAAUGUGUCAUCCCCCUGAAUACGAAAUGUCAUCGAUUUGCCCAUAGUUCCCUUUCUCUUUUCUUGUUCUUGUUUCUACCUCAGCCAGUAAGUUGUAUCCGUGUACACAUUUCUAGUUUCUAUUGCUAUUGGUUCAAAUGAUCAAUUGCUAUAAGUUCCCAUGAUAUUGUCCCAUCAGUUCAAGUGAUCAUUGUUGUCUUGUUUAAGCCGUUUAAGUACAAAAUUACUAGCAUUGAUCUUUGUGCAGCGAUCAGGCCGUUCAGCUCUGGCACCGAAGCCGUUCACCUCUGCCACAGGAGGCCGUUCGACGAAGCAGCGCUCAUCUUGUUGUGUUUUUAAAGUACAUGUUUUAUGUGCUUUUCAGUUCACCUACUUGACGAUUCUAUAGUACACUAGGUGUUUGUGUUGUGCCUUAAUAAGCAUUUGAGAAAACCUUGUAUGGAUCGAAACUACCAUAUGUUCUGUUCUAUUCUUGUAAAUGAAGCUCCACUUCUGUUUUGUUUGAAGUUAUUUGGCAUAAAAAUUAGUAUAUGUUCUACUGUAAAAGACAUAUAAAAUGUCUUGAUGCAUGCUAGCAGAAAUUUGAAAAUACACUCAGUUCAAGUUGUUUGUUGUUAUUCCUACGAGAAAAAUGAAUAUGAAUGUAUGUGAAUGUUGCCCUCAAUUACACUAUAUGCUUGUUCUCUUCAGUUGUAUGUGAAUGAUUUAUUCUUGAGUUCAAACCUGGAAGAGAAAUUAUGCUCAGUUUGUUGCUUGCACU